This 126-nucleotide non-coding RNA is filed under the name unclassified sequences. The record is from Rfam.
UUCUACACUGUGUGAAUCAGUGUCAACUUUGUGGGGCUUAUAUCUAUUCAUACAGAGCAAGUACGUACGGGAAAGCUUAAAAUACUCAUCUGUAAAAUAGUAUUAGUGCAGACUUUAAAAUCAUGC